This 518-nucleotide unclassified non-coding RNA is filed under the name uncultured Glomus. RNAcentral describes it as "SSU rRNA". It matches the Rfam family "Eukaryotic small subunit ribosomal RNA", at positions 569 to 1090 of the family's 1831-position model. Lineage: Eukaryota; Fungi; Glomeromycota; Glomeromycetes; Glomerales; Glomeraceae. The record is from RNAcentral.
AGCAGCCGCGGUAAUUCCAGCUCCAAUAGCGUAUAUUAAAGUUGUUGCAGUUAAAAGCUCGUAGUUGAAUUUCGGGGUUAGUAGGUUGGUCAUGCCUCUGGUAUGUACUGGUCUCACUGAUUCCUCCUUCCUGAUGAGCCGUAAUGCCAUUAAUUUGGUGUUGCGGGGAAUUUGGACUGUUACUUUGAAAAAUUAGAGUGUUUAAAGCAAGCUAACGCUUGAAUACAUUAGCAUGGAAUAAUGAAAUAGGACGUUCGAUCCUAUUUUGUUGGUUUCUAGGAUUGACGUAAUGAUUAAUAGGGAUAGUUGGGGGCAUUAGUAUUCAAUUGUCAGAGGUGAAAUUCUUGGAUUUAUUGAAGACUAACUACUGCGAAAGCAUUUGCCAAGGAUGUUUUCAUUAAUCAAGAACGAAAGUUAGGGGAUCGAAGACGAUCAGAUACCGUCGUAGUCUUAACCAUAAACUAUGCCGACUAGGGAUCGGAUGAUGUUAAUUUUUUAAUGACUCAUUCGGCGUCCCG